GUCAGCCAAUUCCCAUGCUUGGAAUGUGCAGCAUUAUCACAAGGAGGUGAUGCAGGUAGUGAAAGUGAGGGAAGGAUCACUCAAACCCCAGGCCCUGAAGGGAGCCAACAUCUGCAAGCCGCGGUCUCAAAGGCUCUGAAAGUUCCAGACCUCCUUACUCUAGGAGAAACAGAAGGCCUUGUCUUGCGCCGCCAGCUUCGGGUUGCCCUCUGUCUGUGUGGAGGAUGCAUUGGGACCAAGUCCCUUGUGGCUCUUGGCCCAGGUGGGUUAGUUUUCAAAGAGACAGGAGUCACUGUCACUUGAGGCUGUCGUGUGGUAGUUGCCUUGCGAGUCUUCAGUUCUGCCCAGAAACGUGAGAAAACUUCAUCAAGCUGUUGCAAGAAUCGGUCCAUGAUUUAUUUUUUUCUUAACUCAAGUGAGACAUGACAAAUAGAGGGAAAAAUGGUGGAACAGUGAAAAAAAAACGAAAAAAAAAACUACAUUAUUUCAUUUUGUUCCUGCUCCUCCUAUUUCACUACUUCUGACUUGAUCUGAGAUCUUCUUAAUGCCAUUUUUGGUCGCCCAAAUUGUUUUCCCCAAAACAAUUGCAUGGACAAAAUUCACCCAGACCAAUAUAUCUCAAAUUUUGUCCAUCUGAACCAAAAAUGCUCUUUGGAGAAACAAUUCAUUUGAAGUCUACUUGGAAUGUUGUUUUUUUUUUUUUGGUCAUAUUUUGUUAUAUUUCUAUUGAGUUCUUACUGCCAUCUAGUGUGUAAAUGUCAUACUUUAGUUGUGUUGUUUCAAAGCAGCAAAUAUUAAACACAACGGUUUGUCCAAUAAAUAGGAAAAUUAUGUAGGAGAAGAAUAAGAAAGUAGCGAUGAGUUGGAGAAUUUUUCUAAUUCAGCUGUUUUGGCGUAACAUUUACAAUUACCUUAUCGCUUGCCAAGAAUUUUGAUGUUUCCC
This is a non-coding RNA of Pelobates cultripes (western spadefoot toad), 943 nucleotides long. Lineage: Eukaryota; Metazoa; Chordata; Amphibia; Anura; Pelobatidae. The record is from the annotation of a GenBank genome assembly.